This 769-nucleotide ribosomal RNA is filed under the name uncultured bacterium. Its description in RNAcentral is "bacterial SSU rRNA". It matches the Rfam family "Bacterial small subunit ribosomal RNA", at positions 59 to 824 of the family's 1533-position model. The record is from RNAcentral.
CAGUCGAACGAAGCACUCUUUUAGAUUUCCUUCGGGGAAGAAGAAAUUGUGACUGAGUGGCGGACGGGUGAGUAACGCGUGGGCAACCUGCCCCAUACAGGGGGAUAACAGCCGGAAACGGCUGCUAAAACCGCAUAAGCGCACAAGGGCCGCAUGGCCUGGUGUGAAAAACUCCGGUGGUAUGGGAUGGGCCCGCGUCUGAUUAGCUAGUUGGCGGGGGAGAGGCCCACCAAGGCGACGAUCAGUAGCCGACCUGAGAGGGUGGCCGGCCACAUUGGGACUGAGACACGGCCCAAACUCCUACGGGAGGCAGCAGUGGGGAAUAUUGCACAAUGGGGGAAACCCUGAUGCAGCGACGCCGCGUGAGCGAAGAAGUAUUUCGGUAUGUAAAGCUCUAUCAGCAGGGAAGAAAAAUGACGGUACCUGAGUAAGAAGCACCGGCUAAAUACGUGCCAGCAGCCGCGGUAAUACGUAUGGUGCAAGCGUUAUCCGGAUUUACUGGGUGUAAAGGGAGCGCAGGCGGUGCGGCAAGUCUGAUGUGAAAGCCCGGGGCUCAACCCCGGGACUGCAUUGGAAACUACCGAACUAGAGUGUCGGAGAGGUAAGUGGAAUUCCUAGUGUAGCGGUGAAAUGCGUAGAUAUUAGGAGGAACACCAGUGGCGAAGGCGGCUUACUGGACGAUAACUGACGCUGAGGCUCGAAAGCGUGNGGAGCAAACAGGAUUAGAUACCCUGNUAGUCCACGCCGUAAACGAUGAAUACUAGGUGUC